This 955-nucleotide ribosomal RNA is filed under the name Vibrio campbellii. Its description in RNAcentral is "bacterial SSU rRNA". It matches the Rfam family "Bacterial small subunit ribosomal RNA", at positions 37 to 972 of the family's 1533-position model. Lineage: Bacteria; Pseudomonadati; Pseudomonadota; Gammaproteobacteria; Vibrionales; Vibrionaceae. The record is from RNAcentral.
UGGCGGCAGGCCUAACACAUGCAAGUCGAGCGGAAACGAGUUAUCUGAACCUUCGGGGRACGAUAACGGCGUCGAGCGGCGGACGGGUGAGUAAUGCCUAGGAAAUUGCCCUGAUGUGGGGGAUAACCAUUGGAAACGAUGGCUAAUACCGCAUAAUGCCUACGGGCCAAAGAGGGGGACCUUCGGGCCUCUCGCGUCAGGAUAUGCCUAGGUGGGAUUAGCUAGUUGGUGAGGUAAUGGCUCACCAAGGCGACGAUCCCUAGCUGGUCUGAGAGGAUGAUCAGCCACACUGGAACUGAGACACGGUCCAGACUCCUACGGGAGGCAGCAGUGGGGAAUAUUGCACAAUGGGCGCAAGCCUGAUGCAGCCAUGCCGCGUGUGUGAAGAAGGCCUUCGGGUUGUAAAGCACUUUCAGUCGUGAGGAAGGUGGUGUAGUUAAUAGCUGCAUUAUUUGACGUUAGCGACAGAAGAAGCACCGGCUAACUCCGUGCCAGCAGCCGCGGUAAUACGGAGGGUGCGAGCGUUAAUCGGAAUUACUGGGCGUAAAGCGCAUGCAGGUGGUUUGUUAAGUCAGAUGUGAAAGCCCGGGGCUCAACCUCGGAAUAGCAUUUGAAACUGGCAGACUAGAGUACUGUAGAGGGGGGUAGAAUUUCAGGUGUAGCGGUGAAAUGCGUAGAGAUCUGAAGGAAUACCGGUGGCGAAGGCGGCCCCCUGGACAGAUACUGACACUCAGAUGCGAAAGCGUGGGGAGCAAACAGGAUUAGAUACCCUGGUAGUCCACGCCGUAAACGAUGUCUACUUGGAGUUGUGGCCUUGAGCCGUGGCUUUCGGAGCUAACGCGUUAAGUAGACCGCCUGGGGAGUACGGUCGCAAGAUUAAAACUCAAAUGAAUUGACGGGGGCCCGCACAAGCGGUGGAGCAUGUGGUUUAAUUCGAUGCAACGCGAAGAACUUA